CCUACGGGAGGCAGCAGUGAGGAAUAUUGGUCAAUGGGCUUAAGCCUGAACCAGCCAAGUCGCGUGAGGGAAGACUGCCCUAUGGGUUGUAAACCUCUUUUGUCAGGGAGCAACGCCGGCUACGUGUAGCCGGACUGAGAGUACCUGAAGAAAAAGCAUCGGCUAACUCCGUGCCAGCAGCCGCGGUAAUACGGAGGAUGCGAGCGUUAUCCGGAUUUAUUGGGUUUAAAGGGUGCGUAGGCGGAAUGCCAAGUCAGCGGUAAAAUCGCGGGGCUCAACCUCGCUCCGCCGUUGAAACUGGCGGUCUUGAGUGGGCGAGAAGUAUGCGGAAUGCGUGGUGUAGCGGUGAAAUGCAUAGAUAUCACGCAGAACUCCGAUUGCGAAGGCAGCAUACCGGCGCCCAACUGACGCUGAAGCACGAAAGCGUGGGUAUCGAACAGGAUUAGAUACCCUAGUAGUC
This 460-nucleotide ribosomal RNA is filed under the name uncultured bacterium. Its description in RNAcentral is "partial 16S ribosomal RNA". It matches the Rfam family "Bacterial small subunit ribosomal RNA", at positions 338 to 795 of the family's 1533-position model. The record is from RNAcentral.